RNAcentral lists this ribosomal RNA (497 nucleotides) under uncultured bacterium. RNAcentral describes it as "partial 16S ribosomal RNA". It matches the Rfam family "Bacterial small subunit ribosomal RNA", at positions 28 to 507 of the family's 1533-position model. The record is from RNAcentral.
GACGAACGCUGGCGGCGUGCCUAAUACAUGCAAGUUGAGCGAUGAAGAUUGGUGCUUGCCCCAAUUUGAAGAGCAGCGAACGGGUGAGUAACGCGUGGGGAAUCUGCCUUUGAGCGGGGGACAACAUUUGGAAACGAAUGCUAAUACCGCAUAACAACUUUAAACAUAAGUUUUAAGUUUGAAAGAUGCAAUUGCAUCACUCAAAGAUGAUCCCGCGUUGUAUUAGCUAGUUGGUGAGGUAAAGGCUCACCAAGGCGAUGAUACAUAGCCGACCUGAGAGGGUGAUCGGCCACAUUGGGACUGAGACACGGCCCAAACUCCUACGGGAGGCAGCAGUAGGGAAUCUUCGGCAAUGGACGAAAGUCUGACCGAGCAACGCCGCGGGAGUGAAGAAGGGUGUCGGAUCGUAAAACUCUGUUGGUAGAGAAGAACGUUGGUGAGAGUGGAAAGCUCAUCAAGUGACGGUAACUACCCAGAAAGGGACGGCUAACUACGUG